AUUACUGGGCGUAAAGCGCGCGUAGGUGGCUUGAUAAGCCGGUUGUGAAAGCCCCGGGCUCAACCUGGGAACGGCAUCCGGAACUGUCAAGCUAGAGUGCAGGAGAGGAAGGUAGAAUUCCCGGUGUAGCGGUGAAAUGCGUAGAGAUCGGGAGGAAUACCAGUGGCGAAGGCGGCCUUCUGGACUGACACUGACACUGAGGUGCGAAAGCGUGGGUAGCAAACAGGAUUAGAUACCCUGGUAGUCCACGCCGUAAACGAUGUCGACCAGCCGUUGGGUGCCUAGCGCACUUUGUGGCGAAGUUAACGCGAUAAGUCGACCGCCUGGGGAGUACGGCCGCAAGGUUAAAACUCAAAUGAAUUGACGG
RNAcentral lists this ribosomal RNA (367 nucleotides) under uncultured bacterium. RNAcentral's name for it is "bacterial SSU rRNA". It matches the Rfam family "Bacterial small subunit ribosomal RNA", at positions 550 to 916 of the family's 1533-position model. The record is from RNAcentral.